CAAGAAAUAGUUUAAUUAGAAUAUCAGUUUUGGGUACUGAUGGUGUGACUAUUUGUUUCUUUCUUGA
RNAcentral lists this transfer RNA (67 nucleotides) under Proechimys semispinosus (Tome's spiny-rat). Its description in RNAcentral is "tRNA-Pro". The record is from RNAcentral. RNAcentral also lists the same sequence under 1 other name. Lineage: Eukaryota; Metazoa; Chordata; Mammalia; Rodentia; Echimyidae.